Non-coding RNA from Chelonoidis abingdonii (Abingdon island giant tortoise), 405 nucleotides. The record is from RefSeq and is a predicted model, not a curated record. Lineage: Eukaryota; Metazoa; Chordata; Testudines; Testudinidae.
UGUUGAAAGAAUUUCCCUGAGGGGCUGGAUGCAAGGAAAAGAAAGCAAGUGUACAGAGCUUAUAGUGAAGAAGAGAUUCUGGAGCACGUCCAGCGUUGUCAAGCACUGGUUUCCUGUGUUGCAGGAAGAGAAACUUUUCUGUGUGACCCAAAGAAUCAGAUUCUGUCUUUCAACAGAAGACCACUUAUAGUACACGGUGAGGCUGGAUGUGGAAAAAAAGUGUCAUCAUGGCAAAGGCAGCAUCUUUAGCUUAUAACUGGAUACCAGGGGACCUCAGAGUUAUUAUUCGAUUUGUUGGUGUCACUCGUGAAAGCAGAAAUAUCCGAUAAGUUCUUUUAAGCCUUUGCUACCAGAUUGCUGAUAUUUACAACGUCUUCAUCAAUUUAUCUGAGGUAACAAAAAUAA